AGCAAAGUAAGCUAACAGAAGCUAUUGGGCCCAUACCCCAAAAAUGUUGAUUAGUACUCAGCCUUUGUUA
This 70-nucleotide transfer RNA is filed under the name Bolbometopon muricatum (green humphead parrotfish). Its description in RNAcentral is "tRNA-Met". Lineage: Eukaryota; Metazoa; Chordata; Actinopteri; Labriformes; Labridae. The record is from RNAcentral.